This 344-nucleotide ribosomal RNA is filed under the name Enterococcus faecium. RNAcentral describes it as "partial 23S ribosomal RNA". It matches the Rfam family "Bacterial large subunit ribosomal RNA", at positions 2110 to 2453 of the family's 2925-position model. The record is from RNAcentral. Lineage: Bacteria; Bacillati; Bacillota; Bacilli; Lactobacillales; Enterococcaceae.
UUUGAUAUUGAGUGUCUGUACCGCAUGUACAGGAUAGGUAGGAGCCGUAGAAAUCGGAACGCUAGUUUCGAUGGAGGCGCUGGUGGGAUACUACCCCUGCGUUAUGGCCACUCUAACCCGCACCACUAAUCGUGGUGGGAGACAGUGUCAGAUGGGCAGUUUGACUGGGGCGGUCGCCUCCUAAAAGGUAACGGAGGCGCCCAAAGGUUCCCUCAGAAUGGUUGGAAAUCAUUCGAAGAGUGUAAAGGCAGAAGGGAGCUUGACUGCGAGACCAACAAGUCGAGCAGGGACGAAAGUCGGGCUUAGUGAUCCGGUGGUUCCGCAUGGAAGGGCCAUCGCUCAAC